UAGCAUAUCAAUAAGCGGAGGAAAAGAAACCAACAGGGAUUGCCCUAGUAACGGCGAGUGAAGCGGCAACAGCUCAAAUUUGAAAUCUGGCUUCGGCCCGAGUUGUAAUUUGCAGAGGAUGCUUCUGGCGCGGUGCCUUCCGAGUUCCCUGGAACGGGACGCCACAGAGGGUGAGAGCCCCGUAUGGUCGGACACCAAGCCUGUGUGAAGCUCCUUCGACGAGUCGAGUAGUUUGGGAAUGCUGCUCUAAAUGGGAGGUAAAUCUCUUCUAAAGCUAAAUACCGGCCAGAGACCGAUAGCGCACAAGUAGAGUGAUCGAAAGAUGAAAAGCACCUUGAAAAGGGGGUUAAAUAGUACGUGAAAUUGUUGAAAGGGAAGCACUUAUGACCAGACUUGGGCCGGGCGGCUCAUCAGGGGUUCUCCCCUGUGCAUUCCGCCCGGCACAGGCCAGCAUCGGUUUUCGCGGGGGGAUAAGACCGGCGGGAACGUAGCACCCUCCGGGGUGUGUUAUAGCCCACCGGACGAUACCCUCGCGGGGACCGAGGUCCGCGCUCCGCAAGGAUGCUGGCGUAAUGGUCAUCAGUGACCCGUCUUGAAACACGGACCAAGGAGUCGUCCAUUAGAGCGAGCGUUUGGGUGUAAAACCCGCACGCGUAAUGAAAGUGAACGCAGGUGAGAGCUUCGGCGCAUCAUCGACCGAUCCUGAUGUUCUCGGAAGGAUUUGAGUAAGAGUUUUAACGGACGGACCCGAAAGACAGUGAACUAUGCUUGUAUAGGGUGAAGCCAGAGGAAACUCUGGUGGAGGCUCGCAGCGGUUCUGACGUGCAAAUCGAUCGUCAAAUAUGAGCAUGGGGGCGAAAGACUAAUCGAACUGUCUAGUAGCUGGUUACCGC
RNAcentral lists this ribosomal RNA (893 nucleotides) under Diaporthe novem. Its description in RNAcentral is "LSU rRNA". It matches the Rfam family "Eukaryotic large subunit ribosomal RNA", at positions 36 to 961 of the family's 3401-position model. Lineage: Eukaryota; Fungi; Ascomycota; Sordariomycetes; Diaporthales; Diaporthaceae. The record is from RNAcentral.